Patiria miniata (bat star) is the source of this 855-nucleotide long non-coding RNA. RefSeq lists it as uncharacterized. The transcript is spliced from 3 exons. NCBI's taxonomy places the organism in Eukaryota, Metazoa, Echinodermata, Asteroidea, Valvatida, Asterinidae. The record is from RefSeq and is a predicted model, not a curated record.
UGCGACUUUCAUAAAUUGUCAUUCUGGACGGAUCCGUUAAUUUUGUAAAGGGGUUCUUCACCCUCUCUUUGGGGAUUUCAUCAUUUUUUGGUGUAAAUUCUUUACGAAAAAAAGUAUUGCGAUGAUUAUGGACUUACUCCGAACAAGGGAAAGGUUUGAGACUCCAUAAAAAGUAUUAUUUGUAAUUUUGACACAGUGAAAAUACUGGUAAAUUGUGCCGAGGAAAGCACACCCUUUACCGCAAGUGGUGUGGUCCAAACAUACUUUGUCACACUGGAAGUGAUCAACACUCGGCGCCGCAAGACCAAGGACAUUGGCUGAGCUGGAUGAAUUACAUGCGAAGAGCAUGCUUUCAUUGGGAGAAUCGCAGAUUCAAGUUGUGCAACGUGAGAAUGAAGAGGGUCACAGUCUUUAGAAAUGGCUGCAAUCAAAAUGGCAAGGUAAUAUGUUGUGAAGACUCUAUGGAACGGGUGAAAGAUGCUGCAAGUUCUGCUCUGGAUGUUGAUGCUACUACAGUUUACACUUCAACAGGAGGACAAAUAUCAGAUACUGCAUUAAUCAGGUAGGGCCUACUGAGAAAGUAUGUAGCAGCAAUAGACAAUGUGAACGUUUGUUACAAACUAAAUAAGUAACUGUCUAUCUAUCUAACUAACUAACAGAGAGUCAUGAUGAUUUGUUGAGCUUCACUAUCGACAGCUAAAAACACUGUAAAGAAAUAUAUGACUUGAAGCUUUUGCUGGAUGCUGGAGGCUUUAUGGAUGUGCGUGUGCAAUUGGGUGUGACUGCUGGAUGUAGGAUAUGCACUGGGGUGUGUUGGAUGUUAUACAAAUAUUGAGUGGCUCAGAGUGAAAUGGG